This is a non-coding RNA of Oryctolagus cuniculus (rabbit), 1087 nucleotides long. NCBI's taxonomy places the organism in Eukaryota, Metazoa, Chordata, Mammalia, Lagomorpha, Leporidae. The record is from RefSeq and is a predicted model, not a curated record.
UCACAAUUGCAAAUCCACUUCCGGGGUAACACCACGAGCUACCGGGUGGGCUGCUUGUGCGGAAAGCGGUGGCUUCCCGCUUGCCGUUUGUGUUGCUUUAGUCCGUUAGUGGAAUGAUGAGGUCCUAAACAGCCCAAACGGGCGCAAAGCGAACGUUUUCUUAAGACCUUUGUCGUCUUUUGUUGAAACUUUGACCAUGUGGGGGCAGUGUGGUAAUACGAAUGCCCGCCUCUCGGCUCUACCUCCGCCCUUCAUGUUUGGAAAACAGUUACUCCUCAAAGUGAAAAUUCCUUCUUUAAAGAGAAUGCUUCUGUAAGAGACAAGAGUCUGGAAUAGGAAUUUAGACCCAACCUAGCCACCACACAUUGGCGGAGCCAACCAGGAGAGAGUUCACUCCAGAAACAACAGUGUUAGAUGUGAACUCGGUGAUUCUAUUGAGCAGAUGAAAAGGUCAAAACACCGUCCAACAUUAUCUUGGAACAGCAGCCAUAGGUGCAUCAGCAGAAGGCAGCACUGGCACAGGAGCUCCUGGCCCCGUGAACAAAGAGAAUCUCCAUGGGGGUGGUAGUGGCUAGGAGCUCAAGAAACAUGGGCUCAGCCAGUAGCCCUGCACCUCACCACUUUCACCUCAGGCAAGUGUUGGAGCUGGAGCCCAUUUCAUCCCCAGGUGCGUUAGUCUAGUAGUGGGCAGGCUUAGGAGGUAUCUUCCUAGAGAGCCACUCUAGGUCCAGGCCUCCUCUCUCCCAGGACUCCUUCCCACCCUUCCUGAACCAAAAGUCACCUUAGGGGUUUCAGGCAGCUGGAACUUGCCUGCCCUUGAGCAUUAGUGAGGUAGUACUGCUCCUGGGUACCGAGGUAAAUAUUUUCAUAUAGUGAGCCAAGUAGAGAAACUUUGGCUUUCUUCUACGUUUGUGUUAACAGUUUGGAACUAGGACCAUGUUGAGGGUGAGCAGAGUAAGGCAUGGAGGGUUACAUUCUGCCUUUAUUUAAAUUUUUGAAAAUUUGUUCAUAGUAAUUAAUUUUAUCUAUUUUUCAAAUAAAUCAGCAAGUUUUACCUAUCUGGAAUCCUAUGGGUUUUGGAGCCUCC